Molecule: ribosomal RNA, 253 nt
Filed under: uncultured bacterium
Lineage: Bacteria
Description: partial 16S ribosomal RNA
Rfam family: Bacterial small subunit ribosomal RNA
Source: RNAcentral
UACGUAGGAUGCGAGCGUUGUCCGGAAUUAUUGGGCGUAAAGCGAACGUAGGCGGCCUGGUAAGUUUGGUCUUAAAGACCGGGGCUCAACCCCGGGAAUGGACCGAAUACUGUCAGGCUGGAGUACGCUAGAGGAUGGUGGAAUUCCAAGUGUAGCGGUGAAAUGCGUAGAUAUUUGGAGGAACACCGGUGGCGAAAGCGGCUACCUGGACCAGCACUGACACUGAGGCACGAAAGCGUGGGGAGCAAACAGG